This 396-nucleotide unclassified non-coding RNA is filed under the name soil metagenome. RNAcentral's name for it is "partial contains 5.8S ribosomal RNA, internal transcribed spacer 2, and large subunit ribosomal RNA". The stretch from base 1 to 122 matches the Rfam family "5.8S ribosomal RNA", at positions 35 to 154 of the family's 154-position model. The record is from RNAcentral.
GAUGAAGAACGCAGCGAAAUGCGAUACUUGGUGUGAAUUGCAGAAUCCCGUGAACCAUCGAGUCUUUGAACGCAAGUUGCGCCCGAGGCCACCCGGCCGAGGGCACGCCUGCCUGGGCGUCACGCCAAAACACGCUCCCACCCCCCCCCUCACCGGGGGAGCGGGACGCGGCGUCUGGCCCCCCGUGCCGCGAGGCGCGGUGGGCCGAAGAUCGGGCUGCCGGCGUACCGUGCCGGGCACAGCGCGUGGUGGAUCUCUACUCGGCGCAGUGCACCCGGCGCGUAGCCGGCGCAGCGGCCCCUAAGGACCCAACGAACGGAGCGCGAGCCGCUCCGACCGCGACCCCAGGUCAGGCGGGAAUACCCGCUGAACUUAAGCAUAUCAAUAAGCGGAGGA